This 222-nucleotide unclassified non-coding RNA is filed under the name plant metagenome. Its description in RNAcentral is "partial contains small subunit ribosomal RNA, internal transcribed spacer 1, and 5.8S ribosomal RNA". The record is from RNAcentral.
UCUCCGUAGGUGAACCUGCGGAGGGAUCAUUACAGAGUUCAUGCCCUCACGGGUAGAUCUCCCACCCUGUGUUAUUAUACUUUGUUGCUUUGGCAGGCCGCCCGCGUGGGCUACCGGCUCCAGCUGGUAAGUGCCUGCCAGAGGACCCCAAACUCUGGAUAUUUUAUUGUCUGAGUACUAUAUAAUAGUUUAAAACUUUCAACAACGGAUCUCUUGGUUCUG